Molecule: ribosomal RNA, 497 nt
Filed under: uncultured bacterium
Lineage: Bacteria
Description: partial 16S ribosomal RNA
Rfam family: Bacterial small subunit ribosomal RNA
Source: RNAcentral
GAUGAACGCUGGCGGCGUGCCUAAUACAUGCAAGUCGAGCGAACAGAUAAGGAGCUUGCUCCUUUGACGUUAGCGGCGGACGGGUGAGUAACACGUGGAUAACCUACCUAUAAGACUGGGAUAACUUCGGGAAACCGGAGCUAAUACCGGAUAACAUAUUGAACCGCAUGGUUCAAUAGUGAAAGGCGGCUUUGCUGUCACUUAUAGAUGGAUCCGCGCCGUAUUAGCUAGUUGGUAAGGUAACGGCUUACCAAGGCAACGAUACGUAGCCGACCUGAGAGGGUGAUCGGCCACACUGGAACUGAGACACGGCCCAGACUCCUACGGGAGGCAGCAGUAGGGAAUCUUCCGCAAUGGGCGAAAGCCUGACGGAGCAACGCCGCGUGAGUGAUGAAGGUCUUCGGAUCGUAAAACUCUGUUAUCAGGGAAGAACAAAUGUGUAAGUAACUGUGCACAUCUUGACGGUACCUGAUCAGAAAGCCACGGCUAACUACGUG